UACAGAGGGUGCGAGCGUUGUCCGGAAUCACUGGGCGUACAGGGCGCGUAGGCGGUCUCUUAAGCGUGUGGUGAAAGCCCGGGGCUCAACUCCGGGUCGGCCGUGCGAACUGGGGGACUGGAGCUUGUCAGAGGCAGGCGGAAUUCCGGGUGUAGCGGUGGAAUGCGUAGAGAUCCGGAAGAACACCGGUGGCGAAGGCGGCCUGCUGGGACAGUGCUGACGCUGAGGCGCGACAGCGUGGGGAGCAAACAGG
This 253-nucleotide ribosomal RNA is filed under the name uncultured bacterium. Its description in RNAcentral is "partial 16S ribosomal RNA". It matches the Rfam family "Bacterial small subunit ribosomal RNA", at positions 524 to 776 of the family's 1533-position model. The record is from RNAcentral.